RNAcentral lists this ribosomal RNA (253 nucleotides) under uncultured bacterium. Its description in RNAcentral is "partial 16S ribosomal RNA". It matches the Rfam family "Bacterial small subunit ribosomal RNA", at positions 524 to 776 of the family's 1533-position model. The record is from RNAcentral.
UACGUAGGGUGCAAGCGUUGUCCGGAAUUAUUGGGCGUAAAGAGCUCGUAGGCGGUUUGUCGCGUCUGCUGUGAAAACGCGAGGCUCAACCUCGCGCCUGCAGUGGGUACGGGCAGACUAGAGUGCGGUAGGGGAGAUUGGAAUUCCUGGUGUAGCGGUGGAGUGCGCAGAUAUCAGGAGGAACACCUAUGGCGAAGGCAGAUCUCUGGGCCGUAACUGACGCUGAGGAGCGAAAGCAUGGGGAGCGAACAGG